This 390-nucleotide ribosomal RNA is filed under the name Stenotrophomonas rhizophila. RNAcentral's name for it is "bacterial SSU rRNA". It matches the Rfam family "Bacterial small subunit ribosomal RNA", at positions 124 to 509 of the family's 1533-position model. The record is from RNAcentral. Lineage: Bacteria; Pseudomonadati; Pseudomonadota; Gammaproteobacteria; Lysobacterales; Lysobacteraceae.
AUCUACCUUUUCGUGGGGGAUAACGUAGGGAAACUUACGCUAAUACCGCAUACGACCUUCGGGUGAAAGCAGGGGACCUUCGGGCCUUGCGCGGAUAGAUGAGCCGAUGUCGGAUUAGCUAGUUGGCGGGGUAAAGGCCCACCAAGGCGACGAUCCGUAGCUGGUCUGAGAGGAUGAUCAGCCACACUGGAACUGAGACACGGUCCAGACUCCUACGGGAGGCAGCAGUGGGGAAUAUUGGACAAUGGGCGCAAGCCUGAUCCAGCCAUACCGCGUGGGUGAAGAAGGCCUUCGGGUUGUAAAGCCCUUUUGUUGGGAAAGAAAAGCAAUCGAUUAAUACUCGGUUGUUCUGACGGUACCCAAAGAAUAAGCACCGGCUAACUUCGUGCC